Molecule: ribosomal RNA, 506 nt
Filed under: uncultured bacterium
Lineage: Bacteria
Description: partial 16S ribosomal RNA
Rfam family: Bacterial small subunit ribosomal RNA
Source: RNAcentral
AUUGAACGCUGGCGGCAGGCCUAACACAUGCAAGUCGAGCGGCAGCACAAGGGAGUUUACUCCUGAGGUGGCGAGCGGCGGACGGGUGAGUAAUGCCUAGGGAUCUGCCCAGUCGAGGGGGAUAACAGCUGGAAACGACUGCUAAUACCGCAUACGCCCUACGGGGGAAAGAGGGGGACCUUCGGGCCUCUCGCGAGUGGAUGACCCUAGGGGGGAUUAGCUAGUUGGUGGGGUAAGGGCUCAACAAAGCGACGAUCCCUAGCUGUUCUGAGAGGAAGAUCAGCCACCCUGGGACUGAGACACGGCCCAGACUCCUACGGGAGGCAGCAGUGGGGAAUAUUGCACAAUGGGGGAAACCCUGAUGCAGCCAUGCCGCGUGUGUGAAGAAGGCCUUCGGGUUGUAAAGCACUUUCAGUAGGGAGGAAAGGGUGAGUCUUAAUACGGCUCAUCUGUGACGUUACCUACAGAAGAAGGACCGGCUAACUCCGUGCCAGCCGCCGCCGUAA